GAUGAACGCUGGCGGCGUGCUUAACACAUGCAAGUCGAACGAAGCGAUUGUGAUUGAGAUUUCGGUUGAUUGAUCAAUUGACUUAGUGGCGGACGGGUGAGUAACGCGUGGGUAACCUGCCUCGUACAGGGGGAUAACAGUUAGAAAUGACUGCUAAUACCGCAUAACCCGCUAGGGCCGCAUGGCCCGGACGGAAAGGAUUUAUCGGUACGAGAUGGACCCGCGUCUGAUUAGCUAGUUGGUGAGGUAACGGCCCACCAAGGCGACGAUCAGUAGCCGGCCUGAGAGGGUGACCGGCCACAUUGGGACUGAGACACGGCCCAAA
RNAcentral lists this ribosomal RNA (325 nucleotides) under uncultured bacterium. RNAcentral describes it as "bacterial SSU rRNA". It matches the Rfam family "Bacterial small subunit ribosomal RNA", at positions 28 to 335 of the family's 1533-position model. The record is from RNAcentral.